This 1608-nucleotide long non-coding RNA is filed under the name Bemisia tabaci. Its description in RNAcentral is "lncRNA ENSSSA1UGG006585". Lineage: Eukaryota; Metazoa; Arthropoda; Insecta; Hemiptera; Aleyrodidae. The record is from RNAcentral.
AUGAGCAGCGAAAGCAACUCUAAUGACAACAGUCAUCAACAAAAUGGUCAUCUAAGUGACGGUUCAGAUAAUGAGAACACGGAAAACGUGAAUGACUUCGAUCUGAAUGAUUUGAACUUAAACUACACCAGAAUGACCAAACAACAAAUUGGUGAAGAAUUGGAAAAAAGGAAUGUGCCUGACGUAUUCGCCAACAAAAAGGAUGCUUUUAACGCGCUCAAAAGAGUCAUUGCGCGGGAAGUGCAGGCGCAUCAAGAAAGGCAAUUACAAAACCAAUCUCACCAACAACACAGAGACAACAUGCAGCAAACAACAUUCGCGGACGGCAAUCCACAUGCGGUGCAGGUUAAAUACCCGAAGGUGGAGUUCCCAAAGUUCAAAAAUCAAGAACCACGGGAAUUUGUUAACCGUUUUGAACAAAUAGCCCAAAUGGGAGGGCUAAGCGAUAAGCAAAUGGUCCAAAUGUUUUGGGUCAGCCUGGAAAAAGAAGGAGAGCUGUGGUUUAGAAACAACAAGAAACACCUUCAGGAAAUCAACGAGUGGAAUCGAGUGAAAUCGGAAUUUUUGGAUGAAUUUGAAACUCCCGAGAACCUAGGAAGUAACUGGAUGACGUUCCAAAACAGGAAGCAAGGAGCAGGAGAAGCUUCAGCGGCAUACAUUGAGAACAAAAUCCACUUAGCCGAAAAAAUAAGAAACAAGUUAUCCGAAGUGGAGCUCGUUGACUGCAUCAUUAGAGGAUUUUUGCCUAACCUAGCAAAACAACUUUUCCUCAUGGACAACCCGGACAUUAGGACGAUGAAGAAAAACGUGAAAAGAGUAGAAGGAUCGUUUAUGGUGAACAAUGACACACAACCAGCGAGCACAGCGAACCCGCAACCAGACGUCUCAAAAACUAUAGAAGAAAUCAUCGUGAAGAAGCUGCAAGAAUUGGGCAUCAAAUCCGGUGGAAAACCUGAAGAAAAAUCCGUCAACGCCAUCAGCAACAACACAGGACGCGACGAACGCUCAGCCAGAAAUAGGAGCCGGGACAGAAACAUUCGUCAGGAUGACGAUAAGCGAGACAGGUACAGGAGCAGUAGCAGAGACCGGGAAGACAAGUACAGAUACGGCGACGAGUACCGAAGCAGGAGAAACGGAUCAAACAGCAGGGAUUAUGAACGUAGAAAUCGAGACUUCUCAAGAGACAGAAAUCGAGACUUUUCAAGAGAUAGAGAAUAUCAGCGAAGAUCAAGGCAAGAUAGAAGCCACAGCCCAUGGAGACAACGCAGGGAUGAAUAUUCCAGAAGUCAAAGCAGAGACAGAUAUCCGUCAAAUUCUCGUAGGGAUGAUUACUACACAGGACGCUCAAGACGGGACAGCUACGAUGACCGACGCUCAUACUACAACCGAGAAGAGAGCCCAGAAUAUGGACGCUGGCGGCGAUCCGGCGAUCGAAGAUCCCCCGACAGAUACAGGAACUGGCGGGACAGAUCCAGCACGCCGGGAAGAAGAAACAGCAGCAGAAGCCCAGGCGGUAAAAUCAUAUGUCCGUACUGUGGAAGAGUAGGCCAUCCAGAAUCCACAUGUUACAAAAAAGCCUACGACAGGGAGCAAGACCAAAAAAACUAG